Long non-coding RNA from Thunnus maccoyii (southern bluefin tuna), 2962 nucleotides. RefSeq lists it as uncharacterized. Lineage: Eukaryota; Metazoa; Chordata; Actinopteri; Scombriformes; Scombridae. The transcript is spliced from 3 exons. The record is from RefSeq and is a predicted model, not a curated record.
CUGUGUGUCACCGCUGCCGGGAAGAAAGAAAAAUGCUCCGGCCGACGAGAGUGAGAAGAGAAAGGAGACGGAGAAAACGAAGAAAGGGUCAGAGAGGAGAAGAUAGUGAAAGCUUGAGUGUGUUUGGAGCGCAGCGAUGCCUCCAUCCACCAUGAGCCGGACUCUUCUUUGAUGGAAUAUCCCAAACGGCGGAGGGCAGAGGGAGGGAGAAGUAGAAGGAGAAGAAGAAGAAGUAGUAGAGGAGGAGGACUGAUAGAAGAAUAAAAGGAAUCAGAAGGCAGGACGGCCAGCGCUCGCCUCAGGAGGCUCCAUCCAGUCCAGUCUCAUUGUCCUCACACACACCUCGCUGCUGAGUGUGUGUGCACGCGCGCGUGCGCAUGUGUCUGUGUGAGGACGGGGCAGCAGCCGGUCAUUUCGACACCACAGUGCAGCGGAGCUCCAGGUUCCACUCUGAGGUUUACGUGGAUGCGGUGCGUCAGGUAGGCCAUGCCCUUCACCUGUGCCUGCUUCUGUGGCCUGAACGGCUUCUGCCGCAGACGGAAGAAGAAGAAAAAGGAGCAAGUGGAGGAAGAGGAGGAAGAAGAGGGUGAGGAGGUAGAACGAUGGAGGGAUCAGGAGACAGAGGUGUGACAGUCACUCUUGUCACCCUCAGCGGGGCUUUACCCUUUAACGGACUGGAGUGUACAACCUAGGUUAUUGCUGUCUGAUUAUAUGUAUAGAGAUACUAUAACAGGGAUGGUAAACAGGCUUCAGCUUGCACAGGCUUUUAUUCAAAAUUCAUAAUUAAUUGGACAUUUUUAAUUUACUCUGCUCUCUAACUCAGUUGUUGAAAUCUUUGAACCAGAUUCUGUAUGUUUUCCAGCAAUAUCUGUGACUAAGACGUCAGGUUCUACUUUUUAAAACUGCCAGAACUCAGCAACCACAAAACUAUCUUGAGCCAUAUUAAUCAAGAUGAAUCAGAUUUGAUGAAAAUAAAAGCCUUUGAGCGAACUCUUAGCUCAUCCCCAUUACCCAUCCCUGGAGCACUCAAAUUCUCCCUUGGCAGCUGACUGAGAACUUUGCUUGUGCUGAUGUGAUUCCAAAAAAAAAACAACAUUUCUUAUCUGUUUGAUUCAUUUCUUGCCAUAGCUGGUGUACUGUAUAAGGUGUGAGGAGGCGGUGGGCUCCAGAAAUCCAUUAUUUCUCUCAUGUCACACCUCUCUGCAACGCCCCAUCUCUCCCUUCUCCUCCUUAAUCGCAGCUCCACAGAGGCUGAAUUGGAACCAAAGCCCCUUGGAGCUCUGCUCCUCCUCACCUACCUGCUUAUGUCAGAUCAACUUAGCGAAAACUUCAGGCAAGUGAGAAAGUGUACAGCCAUUUCCAAAGUCACCCAUGGAGUGCUGGAGCCCAUCUCGGUUUUCACGCUGAGCUGGGCCCGAUCUAAAGCCAAUCAGCAGCUUAGCUGGAGUGUGAAGAUAGGAGUCAAGGGUCAGAAUGAGCAACAGGGUUUUGUGAGAAGUCCCUCCUAGAUGCCGGAGCUUCUCUGUCUCAUUAAUAAGCAGACAAGUAAUUACAAACACACACACACCAAUGCAGACCCAUCAAUUAAUGUCCCCUGGAGGGAGUGGAGUGUCUGUCCGUAAAUGCCACUGCGGUGCGCUCCCAUCUGUCACCUGUUUGAGUGUAUGACUCUGCAAGUGUGUGUGCGAGUGUGCCUGUGUUUCUUUUUGGCUGCAACAAUAGACUUUCAAACCUGAAACAAGUGGUUAAGAUAUCCAUUCAGCCGCUAUAGAACUGCCUUUUCACAAUGCACAUGGAGACACAAAGACAAAGACACACACACGCGUGUAGGUCUCAUUAGUGUGUGUGAUUAUGCAUGGCACGUCCAGUCAGGCAGUGGAGAUGUAAUUAACCUUUUCCAGCAGGAAACAGAUGCCUGGAUGUCACACACACAAACACACACAAUGAUAUACACGCACACACACACACACACACACACACGUCUGCUGUCAGGGAAACAAAGCCAACGUCACGGUGUCACGGAAACAAAGCCCCAAAAAGCGCCGCCUGGCACUCUGUGAUAAUCCCCUCACGCAUAUUUACAUUCGGGGCUUAGAAUACGGCUCGGUGCCGCCGUCUACACCCCACCACCCCUCCCCACCCUCCCGCCGCACUCCGCUCUGCUGCCCUACCAUCCUCUCUCCUCUCCAUCUACCUUUCGGCGUUCCACCUCAUUCACCCUUUUCCUCCCGAUAUCUCUCCUUCUCUCUUUUAUCUUUUAGAUCUCUCCCAAAAACUCUCCUAUGCAAUCCCCUUCUUUUGAGUUCAUCUGUUUAUCAUCAGCGGAUAGUACAUGGCCUUGCAUGGCAGCUCCCAUAGAUUAGCCCCCACUCUCUCUCUUUUUUUUUUUUUUUCCCCCUCCGACUCUGAAUAUCACGGAUUUCUUCAGGCGGGCAAAAAGCUGCUUUACGACAGAUUAAUGGACGGCCCUGAUUGUGUCUGUUGGUGUGUGUCCGUGCCUGCGUGGAAUAGAUUGUCUGUUUACUCAUUCUCUCGCUACAAGCGGCGAAAUGAGACAAAGCUAAAGCCAUUUCACAGUGUAGAGCACCUAUUAUGAUUCACUGUGUUACGACGCAGCCCUAAUGAGAAAGAGAGAGAAUGAGAGGAGGGGUUGGAGGAUACGAGAGGAAGAGAGAAAAGACGGUAAUGAGAGCGAGUGUUGGAUACGGAAGAGGGGGGCUAAUGCUAGACAGAGUAGUCAUGCUAAUUGGCUACAGUGGAUAACUUUCUGAGGCGGGGGAUGUGUGUGUGUGUGUGUGUGUGGUGGGGGGGCAGAGAAAAGAACAGCCUGAUCUGUCGGCGUUACACUCGUUUAACGCUCCCUCCAUUUCACCUCUUUAAUGAGAGGAAUAUUCGCUCCAGUAAUGGCGAAAGACUUGAAAUUGGUGACGAUUUGUUGCACACAUACACACACACAUGCACU